UACGAAGGGGGCUAGCGUUGUUCGGAAUGACUGGGCGUAAAGGGCGCGUAGGCGGUUGACCAAGUUGGGGGUGAAAGCCCGGGGCUUAACCUCGGAAUUGCCUCCAAAACUGGUCGGCUUGAGUGUGGAAGAGGGUUGUGGAAUUCCCAGUGUAGAGGUGAAAUUCGUAGAUAUUGGGAAGAACACCAGUGGCGAAGGCGACAACCUGGUCCAUUACUGACGCUGAGGCGCGACAGCGUGGGGAG
This 245-nucleotide ribosomal RNA is filed under the name uncultured Acetobacteraceae bacterium. RNAcentral describes it as "partial 16S ribosomal RNA". It matches the Rfam family "Bacterial small subunit ribosomal RNA", at positions 524 to 768 of the family's 1533-position model. Lineage: Bacteria; Pseudomonadati; Pseudomonadota; Alphaproteobacteria; Acetobacterales; Acetobacteraceae. The record is from RNAcentral.